ACCCGCUGAACUUAAGCAUAUCAAUAAGCGGAGGAAAAGAAACCAACAGGGAUUGCCUCAGUAACGGCGAGUGAAGCGGCAAAAGCUCAAAUUUGAAAUCUGGCUCUUUCAGGGUCCGAGUUGUAAUUUGUAGAAGAUGCUUUGGGUGUGGCUCCGGUCUAAGUUCCUUGGAACAGGACGUCAUAGAGGGUGAGAAUCCCGUAUGUGAUCGGCUGCCUUCGCCCGUGUAAAGCUCUUUCGACGAGUCGAGUUGUUUGGGAAUGCAGCUCAAAAUGGGUGGUAUAUUUCAUCUAAAGCUAAAUAUUGGCCAGAGACCGAUAGCGCACAAGUAGAGUGAUCGAAAGAUGAAAAGCACUUUGGAAAGAGAGUUAAACAGUACGUGAAAUUGUUGAAAGGGAAGCGCUUGCAAUCAGACUUGCACGUAGUUGAUCAUCUAGUGUUCUCACUGGUGCACUCUGCUACGUUCAGGCCAGCAUCGGUUUCGGUGGUUGGAUAAAGGCCUUGGGAAUGUGGCUCCUCUCGGGGAGUGUUAUAGCCCUCGGUGCAAUGCAGCCUACCGGGACCGAGGACCGCGCUUCGGCUAGGAUGCUGGCGUAAUGGUUGUAAGCGACCCGUCUUGAAACACGGACCAAGGAGUCUAACAUCUAUGCGAGUGUUUGGGUGUCAAACCCAUACGCGUAAUGAAAGUGAACGGAGGUGAGAACCCUUUAGGGUGCAUCAUCGACCGAUCCUGAUGUCUUCGGAUGGAUUUGAGUAAGAGCAUAGCUGUUGGGACCCGAAAGAUGGUGAACUAUGCGUGAAUAGGGUGAAGCCAGAGGAAACUCUGGUGGAGGCUCGCAGCGGUUCUGACGUGCAAAUCGAUCGUCAAA
This 869-nucleotide ribosomal RNA is filed under the name fungal sp. mh1583.1. RNAcentral's name for it is "eukaryotic LSU rRNA". It matches the Rfam family "Eukaryotic large subunit ribosomal RNA", at positions 23 to 909 of the family's 3401-position model. Lineage: Eukaryota; Fungi. The record is from RNAcentral.